CGUCAGCCCAGGCCAGGGCUAGGAAAACACGUCAACUAGCCAGCCCAGCUGGCCUAGUUACCAAUAACCUGAGGGAAGAAAGUUAAAACAGCAUUUAAGCAAGUCCACCGUUCUUCUGUAAAGGCACUCUGUAUGCAUUAUUAAAUACUAAACUUGAGCAAGUUUGUAAUGAAGAAGAUGUAGUUGCCAGAAGAGAUGACAACGAUGAGGACGACAGCAAUUAUUAUGUGAAUGCGUUUGAUUUGUAGCACAUCCUCUUUAUUGGUUCUGAUACAACUUUCUACUCAGCAAAUGGUUCCAUUUUGACAGAACGGCUAUGAAUUUCCUCUGUCAAGGCUUGAUUCAGAGACAGUGUAGCCAUCUGCUUUUCUGAAUAUCCUAGAUUUUUAAGUGUGCACUAUGGAGUUUUUGUACACUGGGCCUCUUGUUUAUUUUUGAUAUUUGUUUGAAAUUUUUUUUAAUCAAUUGAACUUGCCCAAUACUGAAUAGAUGAUAUGGAACUUGAUCUUUUAUUAACUGUACUUACAGAAAUAGUAUAGAAUUGUCAGCACUUGACUCUAACUUGAUUUUAGUUUAUUUUUUUUUUUAUAUUGAUUAUUGUAAAUCCUUUUGUCCUAUAUUAAAAUGGAGCUUUUGCUAAACUACAGUAUAACAAAGUACAGUACAGGACGCAUUAAACAUUAAAGUAUAAACACAUAACGCUACAUAAGUGUAAGUAAUUUUGUAUUGUUAUCCUCUUUUGUCCCGGAGCAUCAAAGUUAACACGAUGUAGUUGGAAUCAUACAUGUGACCAGAGGCCGACCUAAGGAUAUCUACGGUUCAGUGUACAGCGUUUGUUCAAGUUUUGAAAACGCCUUGGAACACCGAUCAAACUCAAAAAGUUUUACCGUUAUUUUGAUGUUUUUAAAAAUAACUCUAGUUACAUUGACUUUGGUAUUGUAACACAUUUUAAGAAUGUUUUAAAAACGUUUAAAAAUAUUAAAAUAACGUUAUAAUGACGUUUCUGAAUGUUAAAUUGAAACGUUAUUAAAAUGCUUUAAAAACUCCACAUAAAUACGUUUUUAAAACGUAAUAUUAUAACGUUUUACAAACGUAAUAAAAACCCUUUCGUAAACGUUUUUAAAACGUGAUACAAGACCAAAGUCGAUGUAACCAAGGUUAGUUUUACGUUAUAAUAACGUUUUUAAAACGUUACAUUAAAACGUUAUUAAAAUGCUAUCAAAACUCCACAAAAUUAUGUUUUCGAAAUGUUUUAAUAAAACGUUUUUUGAACCAAA
Molecule: long non-coding RNA, 1277 nt
Organism: Anneissia japonica
Lineage: Eukaryota; Metazoa; Echinodermata; Crinoidea; Comatulida; Comatulidae
Exons: 3
Source: RefSeq, a predicted model, not a curated record